UAUGUAGGGUGCUAGCGUUGUCCGGAUUUAUUGGGCGUAAAGGGCUCGUAGGCGGCGUGUCGCGUCGGGUGUGAAAGCCCGCUGCUUAACGGCGGGUUGGCUUCCGGUACGGGCAACGCUGGAGUGCGGAGGGGAGACUGGAAUUCCUGGUGUAGCGGUGGAAUGCGCAGAUAUCAGGAGGAACACCGGUGGCGAAGGCGGGUCUCUGGGCCGUUACUGACGCUGAGGAGCGAAAGCGUGGGGAGCGAACAGG
Molecule: ribosomal RNA, 253 nt
Filed under: uncultured bacterium
Lineage: Bacteria
Description: partial 16S ribosomal RNA
Rfam family: Bacterial small subunit ribosomal RNA
Source: RNAcentral